UCGGGAAUUUUGCUCAAUGGGGGAAACCCUGAAGCAGCAACGCCGCGUGAGGGAUGAAGGCCUCGGUUGUAAACCUCUUUUCUCAGGGAAGAUAAUGACGGUACCUGAGGAAUAAGCCACGGCUAACUACGUGCCAGCAGCCGCGGUAAUACGUAGGUGGCGAGCGUUGUCCGGAUUUACUGGGCGUAAAGAGCGCGCAGGCGGUCGUACAAGUCGCGUGUGAAAGCCCCCGGCUCAACUGGGGAGGGUCACGCGAUACUGUUCGACUCGAAGGCAGGAGAGGGAAGUGGAAUUCCCGGUGUAGUGGUGAAAUGCGUAGAUAUCGGGAGGAACACCAGUGGCGAAGGCGACUUCCUGGCCUGUUCUUGACGCUGAGGCGCGAAAGCUAGGGUAGCAAACGGGAUUAGAUACCCCGGUAGUCCUAGCCGUAAACGAUGGACACUAGGUGUUGGUGGUUAUCAACCCCCGCCAGUGCCGAAGCUAACGCAUUAAGUGUCCCGCCUGGGGGAGUACGGCCG
This 518-nucleotide ribosomal RNA is filed under the name uncultured Acidobacteriota bacterium. RNAcentral's name for it is "bacterial SSU rRNA". It matches the Rfam family "Bacterial small subunit ribosomal RNA", at positions 355 to 888 of the family's 1533-position model. Lineage: Bacteria; Pseudomonadati; Acidobacteriota. The record is from RNAcentral.